Molecule: transfer RNA, 73 nt
Filed under: Nanobdellota archaeon
Lineage: Archaea; Nanobdellati; Nanobdellota
Also listed under: 1 other name
Description: tRNA-Gln
Rfam family: tRNA
About the family: Transfer RNA (tRNA) molecules are approximately 80 nucleotides in length. Their secondary structure includes four short double-helical elements and three loops (D, anti-codon, and T loops).
Source: RNAcentral
AGCCCCGUAGUGUAGCGGCCAAGCAUAGGGGACUCUGGAUCCCUUGACCCAGGUUCAAAUCCUGGCGGGGCUA